CACGUAGUUAGCCGGUGCUUCUUCUCCAGGUACCGUCACUUGCGCUUCGUCCCUAGCGAAAGGAGUUUACAACCCGAAGGCCGUCAUCCCCCACGCGGCGUCGCUGCAUCAGGCUUGCGCCCAUUGUGCAAUAUUCCCCACUGCUGCCUCCCGUAGGAGUCUGGGCCGUAUCUCAGUCCCAAUGUGGCCGUACACCCUCUCAGGCCGGCUACCCGUCGACGCCUUGGUAGGCCAUUACCCCACCAACAAGCUGAUAGGCCGCGAGCUCAUCCCACACCGAAAAAACUUUCCACAAUGGCAUCCAAACCAUCGUCCUAUCCGGUAUUAGACCCAGUUUCCCAGGCUUAUCCCGAAGUGCAGGGCAGAUCACCCACGUGUUACUCACCCGUUCGCCACUCGAGUACCCCUGCAAGCAGGAGCCUUUCCGUUCGACUUGCAUGUGUUAAGCACGCCGCCAGCGUUCAUCCUGAGCCAGGAUCAAACUC
This 485-nucleotide ribosomal RNA is filed under the name uncultured Corynebacterium sp. RNAcentral describes it as "partial 16S ribosomal RNA". Lineage: Bacteria; Bacillati; Actinomycetota; Actinomycetes; Mycobacteriales; Corynebacteriaceae. The record is from RNAcentral.